This is an RNA transcript of Asterias rubens (European starfish), 3060 nucleotides long. It is a transcript of the gene named peroxisomal bifunctional enzyme-like, with no coding region annotated. Lineage: Eukaryota; Metazoa; Echinodermata; Asteroidea; Forcipulatida; Asteriidae. The transcript is spliced from 21 exons. The record is from RefSeq and is a predicted model, not a curated record.
CCCGAUCCGAGCUUCAUUAGGCGUUCCAUAGGUUGUAAAUGUUUACCUUUCUUUUGGCAAGGGGAGGUCGGAGUGCACGUUACACAUGUUGUGUGUGGAAAGCAAUGCACGUUGUCGUCAGAGAGCAAAGUGCAAAGAGAGGUAGCUGCAGACAACCACGGUCUGUUUUUCCCUCAAAAUGGCAGAGCUGACACUAGUUGACGAUGUGGCUGUUUUGAAAGUGAAAUACCCCCCUGUCAACGCUCUCGGAUCUGCGGUCAGAUCAGGAAUAGUGGAGUGUCUACAAAAAGCCAGUGUUAACCCCACUGUCAAGAGUGUAGUACUGUGUGGAGAUGGCCGCACCUUCCCAGCUGGUGCAGAUAUCUCAGAGUUUAACUCGCCAGCUAAGGCUAAUAAGAGUCCUAAUAUCAUUGAGGUCAUCCAUGCUAUUGAGGCAUCUGAGAAGCCUGUCGUAGCAGCGAUUCAUGGUACAGCACUGGGUGGAGGACUAGAGUUAGCUCUCGGCUGCCAUUAUCGCAUCAUCAGAAAAGAUGGAAUGGUAGGGUUUCCAGAGGUGAGCCUAGGCAUACUGCCCGGAGGUUCAGGUACCCAGCGACUACCCAGAGUAACCGAAGUAACUGAUGCUCUAACAAUGAUCACAUCGGGGAGACCUGUAUCAGCCAAACAGGCCCUAAGCAAAGGAAUUGUAGACAAGGUCGUUGAUGGUGACAUCGUCAAACAUGGUAUUUCCUUCGCCAAGUCCGUCGCUAAUCAACCUGUAGGUCCAAGACGCAUUAGUGACUGGAAAGUAAACGCGCCCCAAGAUGUUCACAAAAUCUUUGACGAAAUGCGGAGGAGUGUAAUCCGAACCUCAAGAGGUGCCAUAGCUCCCCUAGUUUGCCUUCAAUCCGUAGAAGCUGCUUUCAUAUGCCCCACCUAUCAAGAGGGACUCCAGAGGGAGGCUGAGUUGAUGAUGACUUUGAUGACAUCUGGUCAAGCGAGGGCGCAACAGCACGCAUUCUUUGCAGAACGGUCUGUUGCUAAGUGGGAGGUGCCCAGUAAAGGUGUUGGAUACAAGACGGCCAAGCCUGUGCCGAUCAGAUCAGCUGCAGUGAUUGGUGCAGGCACGAUGGGAGCUGGUAUUACCAUGGCGUUGAUUUCAAUCGGCAUACCUACGUACUUAGUCGAGCAAAACGAAAAGUUUCUUAUGCGUGGAGUGGAGACAAUUAAGGGGUAUGUUGGCUACAACGUCCAGAAAGGGCGGACUACAGCGUCCCAAGCCCAGAGGUUGCAGACCCUCCUCAAGCCGACCCUGGACUACGAGGAUCUAAGAGGAGUAGACAUUGUCAUUGAAGCCGUAUUCGAGAACAUGAAAGUCAAGAAAGAGAUCUUUGCCAGGCUGGAUUCCGUCUGUAAGCCGGACGCCAUCUUGGCUAGCAACACGUCGGGGCUGAAUAUAGAUGAGAUGGCUGCUGUAACCAAGCGACCAGAAAGCGUCAUUGGGAUGCACUUCUUCGCUCCAGCUCAUGUCAUGAAACUAGUGGAGAACAUCUAUGGUGAAAAGACGUCAGCUGUUGCUAUGGCAACUGUGAUGGAUCUCAGCAAGAAAUUAAAAAAGAUUGGAGUUCUGGUCGGUAACUGUCAUGGGUUUGUUGGUAAUCGAAUGAUGGCAAGAUACGUGACUGAAGCGUUGUUCCUAUUGGAGGAAGGGUGUCUUCCCCAUGAGAUUGACCAGGCCCUGAGAGACUUUGGGUUUCCAAUGGGGAUUUUUCAGGCAACGGAUCUAUCUGGAUUGGAUAUCGGAUAUAAAGGUCGCCAGGAGCAAGGACUAAUUGGCACUGGGAAUACCGCAUCAGCUCGCUAUAGAAACGGACAGAGAUAUUGUCCAUUGCCGGAUACCAUUGCAGAGAUGGGCCGCCUGGGUCAAAAAUCAGGUAAAGGUUGGUACAACUACGGCAAGCCCGGAGGUAGGAUCCCAGAGAGGGACCCAGAGGUGGAGCAACUCAUUGUGGACUUCUCAAAUAAACAUGGCAUCAAGAGGAGGAAGAUCUACCCAGAUGAAAUAAUUGAGAGGUGCCUUUAUCCUCUUAUCAAUGAGGGGUUCAAAAUUUUACAAGAAGGAAUCGCAAACAAGAUGGAAGAUAUAGAUAUUGUAUGGUUGUGCGGUUAUGGAUGGCCAAGGCAUACUGGAGGCCCCAUGUUCUAUGCCAAGCAAGUCGGACUUCAACGUAUCUAUGAGCGCCUCCUGCACUACCAAAAGACCUUCCAUCAAAGUAGCUACUGGCAACCAGCUGGAUUUCUGAAGAAGAUGACUCUCCAACUGGCCAAUAAACUCUAAUCAUCUCAAAACGUUCAUGGAAUCUUAAAGAAAGGAGAGAUUGUAAUCAUUGAAGAGCCAUGCCAUUAUGGAAUUUGCGAGGAGGGUGGAAUUAUCGUGAAACAACCGGAGUGUGAUCCACUCGAGUGUCCAGAGGGUUCAACAAUGGAGAGUGCUCCAACAGGAAGCUGCUGCCCAGUCUGUGUUCCCAUACCGAGUUGCAAAAACAACAGCAACCUAAACUACCUUGUGAUUAAAAACUGCAUUUCCGCCAACAUGAUUCGUGAGACGAGCUGCUCUGGGUCUUGUCCAUCUUAUGUUUACGCCCAAACCACAUUUGGGCUCAAGAUGGGAAGUUCCUGUGAAUGUUGUCGUCCAACUCGAUUGAGUGAAAAUACUGUUGAAAUGCAGUGUGAUGAUCAAACGACCUACAGUCAUACCUAUCAGGUGAUAGAAGAAUGUACCUGUAAAAGCUGUGUCGAAAAUCUAAGAAGAGAAGGAGUAGUUCACAACAUUUAACCAUUGUAACCAUUCUUUGCCUCCCUCAAAAAAUACAACUAGGAAAAAAAAAUGUCAAGGGAAGAUUCUUGAUUACAGUUUAACUUCAAAAAUGAAACGAGCCUUUUGUUUCAGUGCUAAACAGGCCUGACUUUAAUCAGUGAGCUUUCACAUGACAACAUUUCACUAGAGAAUUGGUACUGGUAUGAACUUUGGAAUCAGUGAGCUUUCACAUGGAAAUAUUUCUCUGAAGGAUUGGUACUGGU